This is an unclassified non-coding RNA of Cercocebus atys (sooty mangabey), 97 nucleotides long. It matches the Rfam family "Y RNA". Rfam says of the family: Y RNAs are components of the Ro ribonucleoprotein particle (Ro RNP), in association with Ro60 and La proteins. Lineage: Eukaryota; Metazoa; Chordata; Mammalia; Primates; Cercopithecidae. The record is from Ensembl.
GGCUGGUCAGAUGGUAGUGGGUUAUCAGAACUUAUUAACAUUAGUGUCACUGAAGUUGGCAUUCAAUCCCCCCACUGCUAAAUUUGACUGGCUUUUA